GGGGAUAUAGCUAAUUGGUAGAGUAUACUGCUCAUAACAGUACUUGUAAGUGUUCAAUUCACUUUAUCCCUA
RNAcentral lists this transfer RNA (72 nucleotides) under Clonostachys rosea f. rosea IK726. It matches the Rfam family "tRNA". Rfam says of the family: Transfer RNA (tRNA) molecules are approximately 80 nucleotides in length. Their secondary structure includes four short double-helical elements and three loops (D, anti-codon, and T loops). Further hydrogen bonds mediate the characteristic L-shaped molecular structure. tRNAs have two regions of fundamental functional importance: the anti-codon, which is responsible for specific mRNA codon recognition, and the 3' end, to which the tRNAs corresponding amino acid is attached (by aminoacyl-tRNA synthetases). tRNAs cope with the degeneracy of the genetic code in two manners: having more than one tRNA (with a specific anti-codon) for a particular amino acid; and 'wobble' base-pairing, i.e. permitting non-standard base-pairing at the 3rd anti-codon position. The record is from RNAcentral. Lineage: Eukaryota; Fungi; Ascomycota; Sordariomycetes; Hypocreales; Bionectriaceae.